AUAAAUUUGAAUUUUAGAGGCUUACAUGAUUAUGAUGGAAGAUUUUUAAUAAAUGCCAUAGAUCUCGAUGAAGAAAACUCUAGAAGAGAUCGCCGAGUCAAUUUACUUAUAUCUAUUGAUUUAAGGUCUUCUAAGUUAUUUUUACUUGUAAGAGUUUGACUUGAAAUCGUCGAGUUGAGUAGAUGAGAGAAUUAAGAUUUAAUUUAUUUUGAAUUAUAGUAACUAGCCUAUAUGGUGUUUUUGAACGUAUCAAUUGACUCGAGGAUCAGUCUAGAUGGAUGUACUCGGGGGAAGUUAGAGGACGAAACCAAAAGUUCUUGUCGUUGAUUCUAUGAAUAAUCUGGAG
RNAcentral lists this long non-coding RNA (346 nucleotides) under Phoenix dactylifera (date palm). RNAcentral describes it as "long non-coding RNA (PDAC_LNC009055)". The record is from RNAcentral. Lineage: Eukaryota; Viridiplantae; Streptophyta; Magnoliopsida; Arecales; Arecaceae.